Molecule: ribosomal RNA, 337 nt
Filed under: uncultured bacterium
Lineage: Bacteria
Description: bacterial SSU rRNA
Rfam family: Bacterial small subunit ribosomal RNA
Source: RNAcentral
AAGGGGAGCAAUCCUCUGAGUAAAGUGGCGACCGGGUGAGUAACACGUGACUAACCUACCCUCGAGUGUGGAAUAACAUCGGGAAACCGAUGCUAAUACCGCAUAACAUCGCAAGAUCAAAGGAGCAAUCCGCUUGAGGAGGGGGUCGCAGCUGAUUAGCUAGUUGGCGGGGUAACGGCCCACCAAGGCGAAGAUCGGUAGCCGGCCUGAGAGGGCGCACGGCCACACUGGAACUGAAACACGGUCCAGACUCCUACGGGAGGCAGCAGUGGGGAAUUUUGCGCAAUGGGGGAAACCCUGACGCAGCAACGCCGCGUGGAGGAUGAAGCCCCUUGGG